UAAGGAAAACUUCAGGGCUUC
Molecule: non-coding RNA, 21 nt
Filed under: Arabidopsis thaliana (thale cress)
Lineage: Eukaryota; Viridiplantae; Streptophyta; Magnoliopsida; Brassicales; Brassicaceae
Source: RNAcentral